AGGAGGCCGAGUGAGGAGCCACACACACGCACACGCACACGCACACACAGAUUUAACACUGUUCUCCGGUUUCAGCGCUGGUUCAGGCAGCAGUAGAACCUGCAGUGCACAUUCACCUGUGAAACGAUAAUUAUAGCUCCUCACCUGAGGAGCCUUGUCUCAGAAAGGCCUCAAACAGGUCGACCCAGCAUGACUCCCUGCAGCCACACCUGAUUCCUCAGCAGGGCGAGAUCAGCGGGGCGUCACCUGCACAGACGAGGACACCAGCAUGUAUAAAACCGGAGCUUGUCCAUCCAUAAACACGGUCUGAACACGACAGCAGCCAUGGCAGAUUUUGUAAAAAAUAUGUUGGGAAAUGACGGGAUGAGAGAUAUGGUUGCAUCGGAAACAGGUAAAGUGGUGGAGGGCUUCGUGAAGAAAGCAAUGGGUGGAGAAGGAGGAGACCAGAAGGAAGAGGGGGCAGGUGAUGUUGUAGGCACCUUGAUGAGCGCUGUGACUGGAGGAGGAGACAAGAAGGAAGAGGGGGCAGGUGAUGUUGUAGGCACCUUGAUGAGCGCUGUGACUGGAGGAGGAGACAAGAAGGAAGGGGAGGGAGGGCUGGAUGUGUCGAAAGCUUUGGGAGGACUCUUUUAAGUAGAAACCCAACAGACCAGACUCUCUUUCAGCUUCAUCAAACCCUCAGCUCUUCCCAAACUACUGGAAAACAAUUACCUUCAUUAUUUACACUUGAUUUGUUGCACUUCCAUUUUAAAUGUUGCACCACAUUUGGGGUUGAGAAAAUAAACACAAAAAGCCACAAAAAAGUGAUAAAAACUGAUUAAAUCUGAAUAACACACAUAAACUGAUUUAUAAUCUGAUUUUUAAAAGGGUCACUAUCAGUAUUUUGUGUUAUUUUGCUAUCUUGAAUUAAAUAACUUAAAACAUGAGUGAAAAUGUUCUCCUGUGUUUUAUUUUGCUAAUGGUUUCUUGAAUAUUUUUUGCUCUAUUAUAUUCAGCUUAAACUGAGCCUCUGAUUUGGUGAAUUGAGAGGAAAACAAACUUAUUGUUGGGCUGCACAGUGGCGUGGUGGUUUGCACUCUCACCUUGCAGCUAGAAGAUCCUCGGUUCUGCAUGGAGCUUGCAUGUUCUCCCUGUGCAUGCGUGAGUUUGCUACGGCUACUCCAGCUUCCUUCCACUGUCCAAAAAUAUGCUGAGGUUAAUUUAUUAUUGUAAAUUGCCCGUGAUUGAAUGUGAGUGCAAUUGUUUGUCUGUAUAUGUAGCCCUGCAACCUGUCCAGGGUGUCUCCUGCCUUUGCCCCAAAUCAGCUGGGAUAGACUCCAGUCCCCCCUUAACUUACUGUACUUUCCCAGACGUGUUUGUAGUUUCAAUGAAUGUUUUGUAUGAAUCAACAGAUAAUAAAAACAACCGCCUCCAGUGUGAAACAUGAAUGUUCAUUUAGAUGAAUUAAAUUAAACAUAAUGGCAUGCAGAGAUGAACCUGAAGAGCAAUUAAAGGUA
This is a long non-coding RNA of Amphiprion ocellaris (clown anemonefish), 1496 nucleotides long. The record is from Ensembl. NCBI's taxonomy places the organism in Eukaryota, Metazoa, Chordata, Actinopteri, Pomacentridae.